AGUGAACGCUGGCGGUAGGCCUAACACAUGCAAGUCGAACGGCAGCACAGUAAGAGCUUGCUCUUACGGGUGGCGAGUGGCGGACGGGUGAGGAAUACAUCGGCAUCUACUUUUUCGUGGGGGAUAACGUAGGGAAACUUACGCUAAUACCGCAUACGACCUACGGGUGAAAGCAGGGGAUCUUCGGACCUUGCGCGAUUGAAUGAGACGAUGUCGGAUUAGCUAGUUGGCGGGGUAAAGGCCCACCAAGGCGACGAUCCGUAGCUGGUCUGAGAGGAUGAUCAGCCACACUGGAACUGAGACACGGUCCAGACUCCUACGGGAGGCAGCAGUGGGGAAUAUUGGACAAUGGGCGCAAGCCUGAUCCAGCCAUACCGCGUGGGUGAAGAAGGUCUUCGGGUUGUAAAGCCCUUUUGUUGGGAAAGAAAAGCAGCAGGUUAAUACCCCGCUGUUCUGACGGUACCCAAAGAAUAAGCACCGGCUAACUUCGUG
RNAcentral lists this ribosomal RNA (492 nucleotides) under uncultured bacterium. RNAcentral describes it as "partial 16S ribosomal RNA". It matches the Rfam family "Bacterial small subunit ribosomal RNA", at positions 29 to 507 of the family's 1533-position model. The record is from RNAcentral.